This 76-nucleotide transfer RNA is filed under the name Rhodospirillaceae bacterium. RNAcentral describes it as "tRNA-Trp". It matches the Rfam family "tRNA". Rfam says of the family: Transfer RNA (tRNA) molecules are approximately 80 nucleotides in length. Their secondary structure includes four short double-helical elements and three loops (D, anti-codon, and T loops). The record is from RNAcentral. RNAcentral also lists the same sequence under 1 other name. Lineage: Bacteria; Pseudomonadati; Pseudomonadota; Alphaproteobacteria; Rhodospirillales; Rhodospirillaceae.
AGGGGUGUAGCUCAACUGGUAGAGCACCGGUCUCCAAAACCGGGGGUUGUAGGUUCGAUCCCUAUCGCCCCUGCCA